GGUAUUCAGGUCAAGAAGAUAACAGAUCUCCUGCUAGAACUCGGUUUGAAAGCUGAACUCUUCUGAGGAGCUUCUGAGAACUGGAUGUCCUCGAGGCUGAAGAUGCUCUUCUUCCCAGUUUGGUAAAUCCAGGGAAAGGGGGAGCAGCAGGCAAGCUGGCUGGGGAGUGACUGAAGCCUGCAGACACCGGGAGCCAGCGAGGGUCAGAAGAGAGCUGAGAAACUCCGUGUUCUGGUUCUACCUGGAGACUAUUGCCUGACCAGGAGGAAAAAGGGAAAUUUAGGAAUUCCAGAGAAGCCAAGUGAAUUCAACUAUAAUUGGUAACUGAAUUUUGAAAGAGAGAGAAGCCCGAACUCAAGCGACUUCACCUCGAUAGGACAGGUGUCUGCCCUCCAUUAAUUGAAUGACCUCCAAGUACCCUUCAGCUUUCCAGGUCUAAGAAUUUUUUUCAGUGAAUGCCAAAAUCUGAAGUUAUCAAAAAGGAAGAAAGAAAAAAGCCCAUAGGCUUGAGAAAGCAUUUUAAGACAUCCGUGUGUUUCCUCUCAUAUACAGUAUUACAGUGAGUUCUGAAAUUUGCGGGCUGCGCAGGUGCUACGAUAUGACCACAGGGUGUCAGCAGCACACCACGAGCUUUAUGUGGGGGAGCUUUGCGAAGUUGCCAUGAGUGGGGUCUGGAGAAAGGUGAAGGUCAAGUCCUUCCAACCAGAGGACCUUCGAGAGACAAUGGCGUGGGAUCACCGCCAUGAAGUUCCUGCUUCCUGGGAACAGGGAAACUCCUGGGGGAGGGAGGAAUCAGAGAGGGGAGGUUAACCUCUCAAAAAGAGCACACGUCAGUGCAAACAGCUUUAGGACUCAUUGCUGCUAUAAAGAAAAGGAAUUUUCUCCAAUGCACAGUAUAUAAAUUCUUUGGGUCAAAUGGUUCCGAGAGUAAUCAAAAAGGCAUAACAAAUCUACAAGGUUUGGAUUUUUUACUUAUUUCUGUCUUUAGCAUGACAAACUGUUUUUCUAAAAAUCUAAGUUGAGAAUGAGAACUGUCAUUUGUGUGACCACUGCUGGCAUUAUUAAUUUAUAGAUUAGCAAUAAAAGGAUCGAGGUAACAUAAAACAGAUUUUACAAAUUUCUGUGAUUUACUGGCAGAAGGAUCUAAUUAACAAAAAUAUCAAUAAGCAGACAAUGUUAGUAAGUGGCUGCUGGAGUCAAUUGGACUCCUGUGUGGUGUUCAUUGAGACCAUCAAAGACACAGGCAGCUGAUGUGGAAAUACCAUAACAUUUUCAAUUAGAGAUUGAGAUAAUUGGAGAUAAAUGUAAAACACAGGAAAUCUAUUUCAUGGAAUCAACUGUGUCAUAGAACUGAUGGCAUAAUGAUUGAUUUGCACAGAAAAACUGGUAUAAACAGGACUAUUAAAAGACACAAUCAAUAAGCGACAGCUAACUUUAAUGAUACAAUCACCUCAUAUCAACUUGUAUCUGAUGAAUUUUAGACCUGUGAAAGGUCACGUGAAAUCCAGCUUCUUGACGUCCUCUAGUAAUAGACUGAUUUUCAGUAAAGGUCUGGCAACUCAAAACGUUUCCAAUUACUUAAACCACAAGGGCCCCAUCAUCCUGCAGAAACUUGUUUGUCUCUUGGUAGAGAAUCUGCAGGAGGCAACUACCAGAGGCCUCAACCCUGCAGUCACAGUGACCUCAUUUUAGGAGUACACCUCCCAGGCAAGCACAUUACUUAGGGACUGACAGGUGGUCACUGAAGUCGCUAGAACCUUCUUCUUGCUCAAGUUCCUGGGAGGUUGACUCCAAUGAGACAGUUGUUGUGGACUCUCUCCCAGAGCCAGGAAAAUCUUGAGGGAUAUUUUGGACAUCACAGUUGAUUGCUCUCCCUUGAAGAUAUUGGAUAAACACAGCUGAAGAUUCUUGAUUUGGGGGCUCCCUCUUUCUGGGAUAUAUGUAGACUGUACCAUCUGUCCUGUCAAUUUUUUUUUUUUUUUUACUCUAACCAUCUUUGUGAUCGGAUCUGGAUACUGCUUCCAAAUCUCCGCAGUAUGUGUUAUUCCUUUUGUCUAAGCUCCAACUGCUCCCUGUUUGUUCCCCGUGGUGAAAGAAUCCCUAACGAUGCUGCACCUGAACUGCUUGUCUUCUCUUUGUCUGGCACAAAUAGCUCCUUGAGGAAAAGGAUUCUUUUAAAUUAUUGUCCCAUACCCAGCUACUGCCUGGUAUAAGGUUGAUGCUCAAAAAAUAUUUGUUAAGUCAGUGAAUGAAUAGUAGACUUUUGCUACUUUCAUAUAUGUACUUUACUUUCAUUUACAGAAAGUGACUUUUCAUUUACAGAAAGGGAUCCACUUUACACUACCUGAGGAUGUACGCUUCCCAAGAAUUUUUGGCUGCUUCUCAAACUGGGUUUCCUAGAUCUUUUGGUCAUCUCCCCUGGAGCUAUGGGCUAACAUGUCACAGAUCACCUACCAUCCCCAAACACCUAUCCCUCAUCUUACCAUUGAGCUAUGUUGUGAAAUUAAAUGUAUACCUGAGAAUGGCAGAGGCAUGUCCAUAAACAUGCAAAAUAUAUCCCUAAGCAGACCUCUGUCUUUAAAGAAAAUUGGAUCUUCCACCUUUUUAUCUCCUUUUCAGCCCUGUGCUGAAAAUCAACUUGACUUCAUACAAAUUAAUGAAAACUGAAGUGUUUGGACAGGAGGUUAAUUGCUAGCUACAAUGAGCAAAUGUAAUAGAUAUAAUGACAGCUUGUGAAAUGCCAGGUAAUUGCUGGCAAACAGAAAAGACUGUCUUUGUCAUUUGGAGGGGGGAAGGAGUCAAUUUUAAUAGGACUAUUGGGUUUUACAAAACCCCUAGUAAAGAAUUCAGCCAACAUCCAUAUAGCAAUUAACCUAGCAUCAGGAUUCUUUGACACCUGGAUUAUUUGAGCACAGACUAUUAGGCAGGAAGUGCUGACAGUGAUUUUUUAAGUUAAGAAAGUGUUAUAUA
Manis pentadactyla (Chinese pangolin) is the source of this 2970-nucleotide long non-coding RNA. RefSeq lists it as uncharacterized. Lineage: Eukaryota; Metazoa; Chordata; Mammalia; Pholidota; Manidae. The record is from RefSeq and is a predicted model, not a curated record. The transcript has 5 exons.